Molecule: transfer RNA, 135 nt
Filed under: Salmonella phage kage
Lineage: Duplodnaviria; Heunggongvirae; Uroviricota; Caudoviricetes; Pantevenvirales; Ackermannviridae
Also listed under: 1 other name
Description: tRNA-OTHER
Source: RNAcentral
AUGAAGAAUAUUUGGGUGGUGAUUUCCAACAGAAUUCGCGCUAGUUGGGAAGGUCGGAUGGUGAGCAUCAAGAACGGGUCUCAUCCAAAAACUUACGAUCGUUAUGAUCCUGCCCUGGGUCUUCAUGCAAAAUAA